UACGGAGGGUGCGAGCGUUAAUCGGAAUUACUGGGCGUAAAGCGCACGCAGGCGGUUGAUUGAGUCAGAUGUGAAAUCCCCGGGCUUAACCUGGGAAUAGCAUUUCAGACUGGGAGUCUAGAGUACUUUAGGGAGGGGUAGAAUUCCACGUGUAGCGGUGAAAUGCGUAGAGAUGUGGAGGAAUACCGGUGGCGAAGGCGGCCCCCUGGACAAAGACUGACGCUCAGGUGCGAAAGCGUGGGUAGCAAACAGG
RNAcentral lists this ribosomal RNA (253 nucleotides) under uncultured bacterium. RNAcentral describes it as "partial 16S ribosomal RNA". It matches the Rfam family "Bacterial small subunit ribosomal RNA", at positions 524 to 776 of the family's 1533-position model. The record is from RNAcentral.